RNAcentral lists this ribosomal RNA (330 nucleotides) under uncultured Butyrivibrio sp. RNAcentral describes it as "bacterial SSU rRNA". It matches the Rfam family "Bacterial small subunit ribosomal RNA", at positions 28 to 339 of the family's 1533-position model. Lineage: Bacteria; Bacillati; Bacillota; Clostridia; Lachnospirales; Lachnospiraceae. The record is from RNAcentral.
GAUGAACGCUGGCGGCGUGCCUAACACAUGCAAGUCGAACGAAGACCCCGAAGCGGAGAUCUCGAUCAAAGUGGAGGGAGGACUGAGUGGCGGACGGGUGAGUAACGCGUGGAUAACCUGCCCCAUACAGGGGGAUAGCAGUUGGAAACGACUGGUAAUACCGCAUGAGCGCACGGUAAGGCAUCUUACAGUGUGAAAAGAUUAAUCGGGUGGAGAUGGAUCCGCGUCUGAUUAGCCAGUUGGCGGGGCAACGGCCCACCAAAGCGACGAUCAGUAGCCGGCCUGAGAGGGCGGACGGCCACAUUGGGACUGAGACACGGCCCAGACUCC